This 253-nucleotide ribosomal RNA is filed under the name uncultured bacterium. RNAcentral describes it as "partial 16S ribosomal RNA". It matches the Rfam family "Bacterial small subunit ribosomal RNA", at positions 524 to 776 of the family's 1533-position model. The record is from RNAcentral.
UACAGAGGUGCCAAGCGUUAGGCGGAAUCACUGGGCUUAAAGCGCGCGUAGGCGGCUUUGCAAGUCGGGUGUGAAAUCCCCAGGCUUAACCUGGGAACUGCAUUCGAGACUGCAUUGCUAGAGUAUGGGAGAGGGAAGUGGAAUUUCCGGUGUAGCGGUGAAAUGCGUAGAUAUCGGAAGGAACAUCAGUGGCGAAAGCGACUUCCUGGACCAAUACUGACGCUCAUGUGCGAAAGCGUGGGGAGCAAACAGG